GAUGAACGCUGGCGGCGUGCCUAAUACAUGCAAGUCGAGCGAACAGACGAGAGUGCUUGCACUCUCUGACGUUAGCGGCGGACGGGUGAGUAACACGUGGGUAACCUACCUAUAAGACUGGGAUAACUUCGGGAAACCGAAGCUAAUACCGGAUAAUAUUUAGCUUCGCAUAAAGCAAUAGUGAAAGACGGUUCUGCUGUCACUUAUAGAUGGACCCGCGGUGUAUUAGCUGGUUGGUGAGGUAACGGCUCACCAAGGCAACGAUACAUAGCCGACCUGAGAGGGUGAUCGGCCACACUGGGACUGAGACACGGCCCAGACUCCUACGGGAGGCAGCAGUAGGGAAUCUUCCGCAAUGGACGAAAGUCUGACGGAGCAAUGCCGCGUGAGUGAAGAAGGUUUUCGGAUCGUAAAACUCUGUUGUAAGGGAAGAACAAGUACGUUAGUAACUGAACGUACCUUGACGGUACCUUACCAGAAAGCCACGGCUAACUACGUG
RNAcentral lists this ribosomal RNA (499 nucleotides) under uncultured bacterium. RNAcentral's name for it is "partial 16S ribosomal RNA". It matches the Rfam family "Bacterial small subunit ribosomal RNA", at positions 28 to 507 of the family's 1533-position model. The record is from RNAcentral.